Molecule: ribosomal RNA, 433 nt
Filed under: uncultured bacterium
Lineage: Bacteria
Description: partial 16S ribosomal RNA
Rfam family: Bacterial small subunit ribosomal RNA
Source: RNAcentral
AACGAACGCUGGCGGCAGGCCUAACACAUGCAAGUCGAGCGGACCCUUCGGGGUUAGCGGCGGACGGGUGAGUAACGCGUGGGAAUAUGCCCUUCUCUACGGAAUAGUCCUGGGAAACUGGGGGUAAUACCGUAUACGCCCUUUGGGGGAAAGAUUUAUCGGGGAAGGAUUAGCCCGCGUUGGAUUAGGUAGUUGGUGGGGUAAUGGCCUACCAAGCCGACGAUCCAUAGCUGGUUUGAGAGGAUGAUCAGCCACACUGGGACUGAGACACGGCCCAGACUCGUACGGGAGGCAGCAGUGGGGAAUCUUAGACAAUGGGGGCAACCCUGAUAUAGCCAUGCCGCGUGAGUGAUGAAGGCCUUAGGGUUGUAAAGCUCUUUCAGCUGGGAAGAUAAUGACGGUACCAGCAGAAGAAGCCCCGGCUAACUCCGUG